This 468-nucleotide ribosomal RNA is filed under the name uncultured bacterium. Its description in RNAcentral is "partial 16S ribosomal RNA". It matches the Rfam family "Bacterial small subunit ribosomal RNA", at positions 28 to 507 of the family's 1533-position model. The record is from RNAcentral.
GACGAACGCUGGCGGCGUGCUUAACACAUGCAAGUCGAACGGAAAGACCCUGCUUUUGUGGGGUGCUCGAGUGGCGAACGGGUGAGUAACACGUGAGUAACCUGCCCUUGUAUGUGGGAUAACUUCAGGAAACUGGGGCUAAUACCGGGUAGGAGCUCCUGCUGCGUGGUGGGGAUUGGAAAGUUUCGGCGGUUGGGGCUGGACUCGCGGGUUAUGAGCUUGUUGGUGGGGUAGUGGAUUACCAAGCCUGUGACGGGUAGCCGGCAUGAGAGGGGGACCGGGCACAAUGGGACUGAGAUAGGCACCAGACUGCAAUGGGAGGCAGCAGGCGGGAAUAUUGCACAAUGGGCGGAAGUGUGAUGCAGCAACGCCGCGUGCGGGAUGACGGCCUUCGGGUUGUAAACCGCUUUGGACUGAGAUGAAGCGUGAGUGACGGUAAUGGGUAAAGAAGCACCGGCUAACUACGUG